AGAUAAAAAAUAAUAAUUUCUUCCUUGCUUGGCCUUGCACGGAUCCUGCCCAGAGCAGGAAGCCAACGCUGAAGAACUGUCAGGUGCCUGCUGGCUCUUCUGCUCUUUCUUCAUCAGUGGGCUCCAAUAUAAGCAAGUUAAUCAGCCAAAACACUUUAGCACCCAGCCAUGUGUACACUGCUGCACAGGCUAGCUUAUAUAGUAAGGGCUGACUAUAGUAAGGGCUAAGAAAGGGCUUGCAAACUAUUUAAAGGGGUAGUCAGUAUCUCCUGCUACGUGCUGCCUCCUUCUAUGCGCAGAUCCAUCCACACAAAUUACAAGAAGAGCUGAAUCACUGCGUUAUAAAUAGACUCACUACUUAUUUUUUCUCCCUGAAAAUAAUUUCAAACUGAACAUGCCUACUCUAUUCACUUUGAAUUACUGUGCCUAAGAAAAGAGAAGACAUUUUCUAACUCUUUCUAGUUUCCCUAUUAUUAGUCUCACUGUUAAAAGCCUUGACUGUUAGCCUUUGGGAUGCAAACCUGCUCCCGUUUAAGUCAAUGUGAGUUUUAUGAUUGACUUAAUUGGAAGUGAGAUUGAGCCACUGGGCAUGUGAGUGGUUUUGUGUAGAGCUGGAAACAAAAUAAUAAAGGAGACUGAGGCAAAAUGUGGUGCCAUUUUUUAUUUUUUAUUUUUUGCAUCUAAGCAAUAACCCAGCUUUGCCCAGCCUGCCCACAGUCAUGCCAAAAGGGAAGCCUAGGCUGAAAGGAAGUGCUCAUAAUAUUAUAGCUUAAUUAGUUUAUGGGAGAAAAAUGUUGAAGGGGAGAGGAGUUCCCAUUGUUUUUUUUUUUUUAUUAUUUUAUUUUAGUUUUUGUCAUUGCUAAACUGACUAGCAUUUUCUGCUUGAUGCUAACUUAGCCGGAGUCCUUGCCCUGUUCCUCUGCAGCCUGCCCAGGUCUCUGCUCCCUCUUCAAGCCCAGGUUUUAGUUUAAUGACUGUCAUGCUGGGUACCUCUGAAAGCACAGAAAACACUUCUUUUCUGUGUAUCUAAUUUGCCCAUUAUUAACAUUAUCCCCAAUCUUUUAAGUAGCUGAUUAUUAAGCAAAGAAAUAGCAGUGAAGCAAGGAAAGAAUGUGAUAGGGAGAUUUACUGUGUGGGAGGCAGAGAUAAAAUUAGAUUUCUUUAAGCUGUGUAGUACAGUUAUUAGGAAGUUAGGCUAAUUUUUCAAGAAGCUGUCACUUAAAUAACCUCAUCUUAUUAUUCAUGCUGAGGUAUUUACUACAGAAAUUCUUUCCCCCAGGUCAUCGUCUUUUUCCAGUAGCAGAAGUUGGGAACUCAACAAUUGUUUACGUGCCCGAAUAAUGCAAUGCCAUGUUAUGGACUGUCUCAGCAUCAACUCCAGUUUGGUGGCACAUCAGCCUGCGUGCUCCUCCUGAGUGUCUUGGUGAACCAGGAGAGUUCUGCAGAAGCUCACAUGGCUUUUUACCACAGAUUCAACCUCUCAAAACUCAAGGGGACUUUGAGUCUACUAAGUAUGAGGAACUUAGUGGAGAACAGCAGCUUAUUGUUUAUAUACCACAAAACACAAUAAAGGGAUUGAGUAAGGAAAAAAAAAAAAAAAAAAAAAAAAAAAAGGUUUACUUGUUUAAAAUGAGAAGCAUAUGAAAUUCAAGGUAGGCAAAACAUGUCCUUAAAACUUGGAUACUGUUCUAGUAGGGGAAUGGGAACCCUAGAGAAGAUCCCUGAUCAUCUGCUGAGGAUGUUACCUUCAAAACAGCAACCAGAAAAAUCAGCCUUUAAAGCAACCACUUUGAUUCAUAAAAAUAGGUAUAAAAAAUGAUAAGGAAGCUCCAAGACUAGACCAAAAAGGAUGAAUAUGACUGGUUGAGGCUAGGGUGGCACAUUUUUGACAAUUCCAAAAACAGGACAAGAGGAAAAUAUUGUUAUUGGGAAAUGUAUUUUUCUUUGAAACUUCAUACUGCAGAGUAAUUAAGUAGCAAGUAGCAUGAAGGAGCUUGUUUUCAAGGUGGGUACAGAACUGGUGGAGAGCUAAUUUAGGACAACAUGCUACUGAUGUACGUACAGCUCUUCUCACCUCUACCAACUGCUGCUCUAAUUUUACGUGCGUUCCCUCUUCCUCCUUCCUCUUUUCAUAUGUCUCCUCUACUUUCUCUCUCUCUUUUUUUUUUUCUCCCUCCCCUUCUUCAAACAAAGCAAAUACACACUCUUUUUAUAAGUACUUAUAGGUGAGGCAGCAGACUUUGAACCCACCUGGUAAAUUUGCAUGGCAAUUUCACAAGACCAUCAGGCUCGUCUAAUUCUCAGAAGCAUCUGUCCUUAAAAACACUUGUAGCAGAAGUGACAUUGUAAACAAGACAUGCGUCCCCAAUGAGCAAAUGAAGACUUUCAGAAACAAGUUUCAUUCAGUAAUACACGUCAGCAUUCAGUCAAUUGUUUUCUUAACCUGAUUAUGGCAUUGUGCUUUGUGAACAAUAAACACUACUUUCAUUUUGCUCUUUUAUAAGAAAAGAAAACUUGGUGGUAGGGAAUUAUAUCUUGGGAGUGCAAAGGCAGUCAGGAAAACUGCAGCUGGGACAUUGAUUCAAGGCAGGGUGCCUUGAAAACAUCUUUCAGGCUGAUUUUUGUCUCCCUUGGUGAGCUUGACCUGUUCCUUCAGGUUUCUUCUGCUGCAGUACGUGUGACUGUAGGACAGUAGGAAAACCUCCUUCUCCAUCACGUGAAAACAAGUUUCCCCAGUCUCCAACACGCACACACACUGUCCUGCUCCUGGAUGAGCACACCGCACACUGUCUGGGGCUUUCCAGAUGUCAGCCAGUUGUUUUGGCAGCUGUGCAUCUUCUACAUCUUUCUUCUUCGCCUGGCUCUCAAGGUGCCCCAGAUGCUGUGAAUUUCUUUCCAAUGUUCCAGGUUUGCCUUUGUGUCUCUGCACAACUCCCUCACAGCCUUUGAGCAUAACUGUUCUGCCUUUGUCCCAGCCCUUUGCAAAAUGUGAUUAGUAAAUAUUUACCUGGCUGAGAGGCACACUGUGAGGCCUGGGGGCUGGCUCUGCAGUACCUGCUGUGAUGUGAAAUUCCAGGAGAUAAGGAGGUGAGCUUAACUUCAGCAAACCUCAGACUAAUUGAGUGACUUUUUAAAAAUUGCAAUACGAGAGCACACAACUUCUGUAGGGCUCCAAUAUCCUUCUGGGGGCUGUAUUAGUUAGAUGGAGCCACAUGCAGCAUCCAUCAGAGGGUAUGUUCAUUACUGUUGGAGCAAGCUGACCCUCCCUUCUUAUUUAUGCCCUACAAAGUGUAAAUUUCAGAAAUGAAUAGUUGAUCUACUCUCUAUGCAGUGACACAUUGCCCAAGGCCAAGCUUUUUUUUUAUUAUUUUUCCUGGAGUAUCUGCUUGCUCCAUCGGAUCAUGCCCACAUACCGCUAUUUCAGUUCCUAACCUAGCAAUUAUCCAGCUACAUGCAUGUGCAGCCAGCACACCGAACACGACUUCCUCCCCGGUGAGUUAAAUGAAACUCAGGUAUCUUUUUCCCUCCUUUUAUCAAAUUGACCCUUUGUAAAUUAUCCUGUAUUUUUUUUUGCUUUGUGAUUGAACUGUAGCCAUUUAGAACUAUAAAGAUAAAUCCUUUUAAACCCCAACUUUCUUCUCUUGACAGUUUGCAAUUUUAUUUUAUUUUUUUAAUGACUAAUUAGCCGGGGGCUCUGUGGAUAAGCUGUUGGCUUUAGUGCCUUGCUUCAGGACCCCUUCCUGCUAAAGAGUAAAAGGCAGAGAAACUGCAAUAGCACUGCUCAGCAUCAGUUUUCCCCCCACUGGAAAUCUGUCACUCACCUCUUUACCUCUGGGCGUGAAGAAAAAGAAGAAAAGGAACAAUAUGUGGGAGAAGUCCAUGGUGUGUUGUCUGGCAAUCUGCCAUGCUAAUGUUUCCUUCACUGGGAAGCAGCUGAAAAGAGAAAGGACUUGCUGACUUGCUCCUCAUGCCAUCCACGUGUCCAUGGUCAAGCAGAAGUUGCCACGCAGUGGAAAACUAAAGCUGGAACAGGCAGUAAGGUAAGCAGAAGCAGAGAGAAAUCCCACGUCAAUAUAUGGAGGAAAAUUGGUCAGCAGAAAGUUCUUGGGAGGUGCUGGACACCCGCCUGGGUGGGAGAAGACGAAGACCGAGGGUGUCACCUGAUGGCACUGGGGCAGAGGGGCCGGGAGCCAUGGGGGUGCCUCCAAGGAGCCCUGCCUCCGGCACAAGGCCAAGAGUGCUCUUGAGUAGAGGAUUUGAACUCGCAGGGCUCCUUCCAAGCCUCUUCAUCUGAUGGGAAAAUUUUCAAUAUCAUAUAGCAGUGCCUCUGUGAAUUUUCCUCUUUCUUCCUGGGGUAAAUGGGUGAAAGGAGUCGGCACAGGUUUAGACAGUGGCACCCGGUGUGGUGAGGAGCUGCUUUACAUGCUUUACAUGCAGUGGGCUGUUAACUAAUUAAACCUCUAGGCUGAGCAGUAGCCUAAACAUUAGUUGAACAUAGUUAACAAAACAAUGAUACUUUACAUCCUAAGAAUAAAUAGAAUUCCAAGGAAUUAUGAAGACGUAUUGGAGAGUGGCUUGGAGAUUUGUAAAGGUACCUGUGUGUUUAGGUGAUCACCCAAUAGAUUAGAUAGAUCUAAUCUUGGAAAAUAUAACAGUCAAAAAUAAAUAAAUAAAUAAAUAAAUAAAAGAAGAAAACUAUUAAAAAGGGAAAUGUAAAGUUUAUCUUUAAAGGAAACCCAUAUAGUCAGCUCUGGCAUAGGACUAAUUUGCACGUCUUUAGGAAUUUAAAAUUAUUUCUUCUAGUUCAUAUUCACCAUGAUUAUAAGAUGUAUUUCAGAGGAAGGAAAACAUUUAAGCAAGGAAAUGAAAUUAAGCCAUUAUUUACUUUUUGGGGGUCACUUCCAUUUGCAGGAAGAGUCCUUGGAAAGAACUAAUCUCCUCUCACUCUCUCCCUUCCCACCACCCCUAUCUGUAGUAGAAAUAUUCACUGUGACACAGAUGACAGUACAAAUACUGGGGUUCAGCUUAGGCAAGUGAGAUAUCUAGAUAAAUUGCUUUUUCUCUCUGGGGAUUAAAAAAAACAAACAUGCAUUAAAAAGUGUUAUUUAAUG
Oxyura jamaicensis (ruddy duck) is the source of this 5111-nucleotide long non-coding RNA. RefSeq lists it as uncharacterized. NCBI's taxonomy places the organism in Eukaryota, Metazoa, Chordata, Aves, Anseriformes, Anatidae. The transcript has 2 exons. The record is from RefSeq and is a predicted model, not a curated record.